AUUGAACGCUGGCGGCAGGCCUAACACAUGCAAGUCGAGCGAGUGGCGGACGGGUGAGUAAUGUCUGGGGAACUGCCUGAUGGAGGGGGAUAACUACUGGAAACGGUAGCUAAUACCGCAUACCAUCGGAUGUACCCAGAUGGGAUUAGCUAGUGGGUGGGGUAACGGCUCACCUAGGCGACGAUCCCUAGCUGGCCGGAGAGGGUGAUCAGCCACACUGGGACGGAGACACGGCCCAGACUCCUACGGGAGGCAGCAGUGGGGAAUAUUGCGCAAUGGGCGCAAGCCUGAUGCAGCCAUGCCGCGUGAAUGAAGAAGGCCUUAGGGUGGUAAAGUACUUUCGUCAGGGAGGCGUUACCCACAGAGGAAGCACCGGCUAACUCCGUGCCAGCAGCCGCGGUAAUUC
RNAcentral lists this ribosomal RNA (406 nucleotides) under uncultured bacterium. RNAcentral's name for it is "partial 16S ribosomal RNA". It matches the Rfam family "Bacterial small subunit ribosomal RNA", at positions 29 to 526 of the family's 1533-position model. The record is from RNAcentral.